This 254-nucleotide ribosomal RNA is filed under the name uncultured bacterium. RNAcentral describes it as "partial 16S ribosomal RNA". It matches the Rfam family "Bacterial small subunit ribosomal RNA", at positions 524 to 776 of the family's 1533-position model. The record is from RNAcentral.
UACGAAGGGGGCUAGCGUUGUUCGGAAUCACUGGGCGUAAAGCGCACGUAGGUGGGUCGCUAAGUCGGGGGUGAAAUCCUGGAGCUCAACUCCAGAACUGCCUUCGAUACUGGCGAUCUUUGAGUCCGGGAGAGGUGGGUGGAACUGCGAGUGUAGAGGUGAAAUUCGUAGAUAUUCGCAAGAACACCAGUGGCGAAGGCGGCUCACCGGCCCGGUACUGACACUGAGGUGCGAAAGCGUGGGGAGCAAACAGG